AGGGGGGUUCAAACAACAAGACCUGCUAACUCCUGUAUCUGAGUUUAAACCCUCAGCCCCCCUC
This 64-nucleotide transfer RNA is filed under the name Otus semitorques pryeri. RNAcentral describes it as "tRNA-Ser". Lineage: Eukaryota; Metazoa; Chordata; Aves; Strigiformes; Strigidae. The record is from RNAcentral.